AUACGGAGGGUGCGAGCGUUGUCCGGAAUCACUGGGCGUAAAGGGCGCGUAGGCGGUGACUUAAGCGUGUGGUGAAAGCCCGGGGCUCAACCCCGGGUCGGCCGUGCGAACUGGGUCACUCGAGCACUGUAGAGGCAGGUGGAAUUCCGGGUGUAGCGGUGGAAUGCGUAGAGAUCCGGAAGAACACCAGUGGCGAAGGCGGCCUGCUGGGCAGUAGCUGACGCUGAGGCGCGACAGCGUGGGGAGCAAACAGGAUUAGAAACCCUAGUAGUCC
This 274-nucleotide ribosomal RNA is filed under the name uncultured bacterium. RNAcentral describes it as "partial 16S ribosomal RNA". It matches the Rfam family "Bacterial small subunit ribosomal RNA", at positions 523 to 796 of the family's 1533-position model. The record is from RNAcentral.